This 8885-nucleotide long non-coding RNA is filed under the name Fragaria vesca (wild strawberry). RNAcentral describes it as "long non-coding RNA (FVES_LNC003385)". The record is from RNAcentral. Lineage: Eukaryota; Viridiplantae; Streptophyta; Magnoliopsida; Rosales; Rosaceae.
GAGAGAGAGAGAGAGAGAGGGGUUGAUGCAGAAGGUCGGGGUCUUGGGUUUGUUUUAUAGAGGCUUUUCACUAAACUAGGACGGAGGGUAAAUGGGCUUUUGGGGCUGGUAUCACCGACCCGGCCCAAUAAAAAGUCCAUAUAAAGGGUGACCCUUGUAGUCAUCGGAGAGGUUGAAGAAGAUAAGGGAAGGUGGAAAAUGGAGAAGUACUUUGGGAAUGCGUAUAGAGGAGACCCGGGGGUCCCACACGCCGACCCGGAGAGGUUCGUGAACAUAUGGAUCGGGUCGGCUGCCUUCUCUGUGAUGACCUUGUUCAAUCCCUACAUUUGGCAGCUCAACCAUCAGUUCAAGUAUGUGUCUUUUUUUUCUUUUUCUUUUUUUUGAGUUUGAGUUUUGAGUUUUUGGAUGUGUGCCCAGUUUGUGAUUUAGGUCAAUUAUUUGAGUUGGGUGAUACCCAGUUUGGGAUUGUGUUGAUUUAGUGUUUUGGGUCAUUUGAAACGGUUGCAGUUGGCAUGACAAGGCAAUGCUGUUUGAGCAGCAUCACUGGAGGAGGGCAAAGAAGAAAAAGCAGCCCUAUAAGUUUAUGGUAUGUUAUGUGAUUCGGGUGUUUGCGACUUAAAGGUUCAAUCUUUAUUGGUGUUUGUUGUGCAAGACAUUGAGGAUUUUGGUGGGUUUAUAUUGCUGGUGAAAUUGAUCGAUAGGUUUGAUGACAUUUUUGUUUUGUUGCAGUGGAAUGAGUGCAUGGACAGGGAGGACAGAGAUGCCUACUAUCUCAACUGGCCGAUUUAUUUCCCUUAGCUGUUUCUGGGGAUGAUCUUGUUUAUGGUAUUUUCACUGUUAUGUCAUUUUGCUGAGCUGAAACUGUUGUAGACUGAAGGUGGUAUGGUUUUUCAUGCUUUUGUUGUACUGGAAAGCUUAAAUCUAAUCUGAUCAUUUUCAGUUGUCUUUGAAUUUUAUGUCUGAUGUUUUCCUUGCUAAUAUCAGCUAUUUCUGCUGUUUUAACAAUUUGACAUUAAAUCAACUGCAAAUUUGAGAUGUUGAUUGGUUGGUUUUACACUGUUGAUUCAUGAAUUUAUUUAUAUCAUGUAAUACUCAGCGAAACAUUAUUGUCACCGACAACACUAAAUUUGUGUUCAUCAGAAGGCAAGAAUGCGUAUCUAUUCUCCUACUGUUAGAAUGAAUCCUGGUAGUUUCAUAAGUUGGCUAAUGGUAUGAAAAAUAUGAGGUGUGCAAACAGUCUUGAUUUCUAGAUUCUGUUAGGCUAUUUUUCUUGGAGAACUUUACUAGCUGAGCUGCAACAGGACUCAGCUUCUUUCAUUGCUUUAAAUGUUAGUAUCAGAAGUCUUGGUAAAUCGUGUGGUCUUGUGAUCCUCAAGUUAAAGUUGUGUUCUUGAAAUGGUAUUGUUAUUUUGGAGAAGGCUUUCCAGUGUCAUUUGAGUCUUCAGGCUUGGUUGUGCCACUGAGUUUGGCAGCCUACAGGAACUCUUACUUUGAAUUGAUUGUUAUUCAAGGAGUCUAAUAUAGCAGAGCUAUUGGCUUGUAGCUUUCUCAACUUGACUCCUAAUUUCUGCCAAGCAAGCCUUUACAGAUUCCGGUCCUAGUUUCUUCAAAUCAUUCCUUUGCAGGAAAAAAUUUACAGUACAAAAAUAUCUAUGACAUACAUCCAAUUACCAUCUCUAAGACGUUGUGUGGAUCUCACUUGAAUGAUAGCAUAUUUUAUCCUUGUGUGUACCUCAUUUACUCUCUGAAGAUCUUUUCCUUCAUACUGGGAAUUAAUUGGUAAUAGCAGUUUUAUCCAUUGAACUUUAGGCUUAAUGCUCACAACAUUUUAACAAGAACAUUUUAGCAUAUUUGAACUCUUUUACACUGGAAAAAAAAAAAAUGGGAACAACCGAAAGUGACCAAUAGGAUACUUGAACCUCCGGAAGUAGUUCACGGCGAUAUUUCUAUCAGUUUUCCGUCAAUGACUUUUUAAAGUUGAGUAUAUAACACAUCAUACGUGACUUAUAUCAUGAAUUAACACUCUUCACUUGGAGUCUCUGAAGUUCAACCUCAGAAAAAAUAAAUUAGGAGAAUAGCAGAGCUGCUCCCUUAGGGGUGAAUGACACAAGUGAAAUUUGUCGACCUAGAAAAAUUACACAAUUUCAAUAAUUAUAUAUUAUAUAAGUAUAAGAAAUUGAGAGAUAAACAGAAAUAUAUCCAAUUAUAUCCCCUUAUCCAAAACAUUUCAUUAUCCUGAGAACCAUUUUUGCAGCUGCCAAAGCCAGGAAACAAUGGCAUUUCUCCUUCCUCCGUGUUCAUCUUCCACUUCCCAAACAACCUCAACCAUUACAUCCUCGUCAAAUCUCUCUUCAACUCUAACUCCAUCCAAAUCCAGCAACGACUGGAUUUCGAAAUUUCGCUCCAAAUCUUUGAGUUUCGCGCUCUCCGGAGCUCUCACACUCGGAUUAUCUCUCUCAGGCAAGUCUUCUCGUUUUUCUUCAGUUGCAUGCAAGAUCAAAUAUUAGCAUGCUGAAAAUGUUAGAACCCUUUUCGUUUCUGUAGGCGUUGGAGCUGCUCAUGCAUUAGUCGGGGUAAACAAGCCAGAAUUGCUUCCAAAAGAGUUCAGUCCUGUCAUUGAUGUAGCUGGCUUCCUCUCUGAUGGCCAGGUGCGCUUAAUUAUAUGAACCGUGUACUAUUGUUUUAUGUUUGAGUAAUGGUAUGAAAUUCAAGAAUUAAGCUUUAUGUAUAUUGUAUAGUAUAAUAAUGUAUGUGAAUUUUCAGGAGAAAAGGCUAGCUCAAGAGAUUGCUAAUAUAGAGAAGGAUACUGGAUUCAAGUUGAGGGUUCUUGCUCAGAACUACCCUGACACACCAGGUGUGCAUAGUGUUAAUUAAUACGGAGUUUGGUAGUGACAUUUCGCUUUGUUUUACGGUUUUUGGGUGAGAUUGUUACAAUGUUUCCAUAUUGUGUAGGUUUGGCGAUCAAAGAUUUCUGGCAAGUGGAUGAUAGAACUAUUGUCUUUGUUGCUGAUCCCACUUUUGGUAAUGAUUCAUACAUGCAAAUGUUAUGUGUGCUUAUUUUACUACCUCUGAAAUAGAUCAUUUAUGCUGAUGGUUUUUGAGCAGGCAAUAUACUAAACUUCAAUGUGGGAGCUUUGAUUGAUCUAGAUGUUCCACGUAGCUUUUGGAGUCGUCUGGCUGGGAAGUAUGGGAAUAUGUUUUAUUGGAAAGAGAAGGUGAAGUUUUAUCAUCCCUUGUAGUUAUAUUUUUUUUAUGAGUUAUGGCAUUGCAUUGUGCACAGUUUCUUAGAAAAGAGUAUGAUUUUAUCUGCUGAAUGGAACAGGGGGAAGAUGUAUCAAUUGAAGCAGCUGUAACAGCAAUAUCUAGCUGUUUGAGAGAACCUGUAGGCUCUGAUAAUUGCUCCGAGGUAAGAUAAUACAAGAGAACCCUGUCAAUUUGUAAAGAGGAUAUGCUCCAUCUUGUUAAAUAUGUAUCGAGUACUUUUGAGAAAUAUAGAAAGAUUGUUACAUUGGUUUUAAUUGUCUCAAUUUGGUCUCGCCCCAAGAAGCAGUGUAGAAAAAGAAUGAUGCUUUUUGUUCCUCUGUUGAGAAUGACCUCAACCUUUUCAAAUUGUGAUGUGCAAUGCUUGGUUUACUCCCUUCUAUUUUUGAAAGGAUGUCAAUGGUCUGGUCUCUGGACUUUUUACAAAGAAGCUAGUUAGAUUGUUUAGAGUUGAUGAUAGAUGAGCCAUGGUUGUUCACUAAAUAUAAAUUCAUAAGAUGGAGCCUCUGGUAAGGACACUCGAUGAGCAGCUAGCAAAGAAGAAAUGUCUAGAGAAUCUGCUUCAACCAGUAUACUUUGAAAUCAUGUGCUGGUACAGAUUGCUUCACAAGAAUCCAAGCAUCCCUUCUGAGCAAUGGCUGAUUUCUCCAUGCUCUCGACAUACUAUUUCGAGAAAGUUGAGUUAUGGUUACAACACAGGAAUAGCUGCAGAGUUGGGGAAAGAUGACCAUAUUGACUGAAUAUCAUAAAUUCAUAAGCUGGAGCCUGCAGUGGAGCCUCUGGUAAGUAUGACACUCGAUGAGUAGCUAACAAAGGAAAUGUCAAGAGAAUCUACAUAGUUGGCAAUACAGUGAAAUUAUAUGCGAGAACACAUUUCUGAGUAUGUUUGGAAUAAUCUAACCAGCCCUUCUGGUAGACUGGCCAGCCGAUCUCUCCAUGUUCUCUACAUACUAUUCCAGAACGUUAGCUAUGUUAAACCUCCAGAAGCCAUGGAUGACAAGAACAGAGAUGUUAUUCCAGAUAGUGAACUGGCUGAUGGGAUGGCAGCAUGAUGAUGCCAUGGCUAACCUCAGAGGCAAGAUAAUACGAGGGUUUGUUGAUGCCUGGCUGCUGGCUCCUGCUGUAUAAGCUAUACAGUAUAACUAAUAGGUAAAAUAUUGUUUCUUCCACACCGGAAACUAGUUUGGCUCAUUCCAUGUCAGUUUCAAGUGGGCAUGGAAACUUGUAUAUGGGAAAGUGUCAUCCUACCUGAUUCCACCAUGAGCUCUUGAAUGUGUCGAGGUAUCUUUAGUCUUUACUCUACACCCCAUUAUUACACAUUAACACCUAUAUGGAAAGAUUGUAGCUGUAAAUUAUGUUAAAAUCUGCCCAGACACUAUUCACUAUUUAGGAACUUAGAAUAGAAUACGAUUGCAUUUGCCGGAUGGAACAACGGGAAGAUCCAGAUAUUAUCCAACUUCAAAAAGAAUAUGUCCUCAGUUAAUGGCAUGUUAACAUGAACUGACAGAGCCUAUGACUUCCUUGGUUUUUACUCUGCAGAGCUUGCUUUGUAUCUUCUGAAUGACCUCGCGAUCGUUCAACUCUUUGGGCGAAACAUCUAGCCCCUCUAGCCACUUAUCACUUGCAGGAAGUUUCAAUUUCAGAAUGGAAGCAGCCACAGCGACUGAACCAACUGCAAUGUACUGUGGCUUGUACUGCAAGCACAACAAUGUUCUUAGCAACUCCUCCACAAGACUCCAUGCUACAUUUGUAACCUCAGGGAGCCUAAACCAGUUAUUUUUUCUUCACUCAAUCUCCUGAGAGCAGCAAUCAGAGUCUUGUAAGGAAGCUGCACGUCGAGAUCGAACUGCAUUGUUUUUAGCACAAGUCUCUUCGCAGCUAUGAUCAAUUUUCUCUUUUGGUCUUUAAAAACACGCCCUUUUUCUCUGCAGAACUCAUCUCUUUCUCUCAUAUCAAGAGGAUUGAUAGUCGAGCGCACCAUCUGGUUGACGAUGUGAUGCUGGAUCUCAUUACCAAAUGCCACAUUCACCACGUCCUUCAGACGGCGCUGGGAAUCCUCCACUUUGCCGGCGAGGAAAAUGCAGGCAGUAGCGACGGUGUACCAGUCGUUCUUGGCGAAAGAUUGACGUGCGAAGAAGCGGUGGCAGAACAUGGUGGCCUUGACUAUGGUGAGGUGAUGAAGUCUGAGCUUGGAGCCGAGCUGGCGAAGAUAGGAGCAGUAUGUGAGCACAACUGUGACUCUUUGCUCAGAGAGGUCAUAACUCCGCGAUGGAGAGUGGAGUUCCAAUGCUUGUCUCGAGAAACACCACUGAUUCAUGGUAUCUGGUUUUGUUGCUAUUGUUAUAAUUGGAAAUAUUUGAGAGUGAAGUGUUGGGGUACUAAAGGUUUAGAAGAAUAUAGGAUUUCCGUGUUCAGUUUGGAAUUCUAGCAUUUCGGUCUUGAUGUAGGAAUGUAGGAUUACGGUUCCCGUUUAAAUUAGGAAUAAGGAGGGGAGUAAGUCUGGGCUGGAUUGUUCUCUUUCUGAUAUGUUUCUUCAAUUUUUUCUUUGAGAAAUUCAUCUGAACGAUAUCUCAACUUUGGCUCCUUAUAAGCUUUGGUAUAUCAACUUUCAAAAAUAUCAUAUUGGUACUUCAAGUUUGGAUCCUGAUCAAACAUCGGUAUCUAUAGUCGUUAAAUCAGUAACGAUGUUAACAACGUGACUUAUUUGAAAGGUGAUUUUGUCAUUCAUGUCUUAAUCCAUUUUUUAUAUUAUUUUUUUUUAUUGUAUCUAGGCUGCAAUUCAUCUCCGUGUUCUGUUUGUUUUUUUUUUGGUCAAAUUGUCUGUAUGUUCUUUCAACAACCCCAAAACCCAGCCUCAAACCCAAACACCUACUGUAUCUUGAAGUCUAUUCUUUUCUGGAUUAUUUUUCAUCCCAAUUCAAAUAUAAAACCCCUUAAAUUAUUACCCUCCCAGAGAUCAUAUCCCAACCUCAACCCCAAGUCCCCAACCCCAAACCCAAAUCGGCAAAAAUGCUAGUCUUCCAAAUUAUCAAGUUCUGGUUUCUUAGCCAUCUCCUUGAGGGGUACUAAGAAAAUCCCGAUUUCCGGUGAGUAUAUGCUCCUUCCAUAACCCUCCGGUCGAGUCAAAAGCCAUCUCCAUCUGCACUGACUAUAAUAUAUCGUUUGUUUCUACAAUAUCUUGCUCCCCGACUAUAUUUAUGUCAGGUUUUCUAUUCAGCUUUUAUGAAGUCAUUUGGCAGAAGAAACAAAUGAAAUUGAGUUUUUUCUCGAUAACAACAAACGGAAUGGAGUUGGAUCAGAAAGCUUGCAAAAGAGAGUAUAAACUUUGAAGAAGAUAAACAAAACGAGGACAAAAGUACCCUUGAAAAUAUGCUAUGAAAACAUGCUAUGCAGCAGACGCCGUUACUCACUUAACGACUAUAGGUACCGAUGUUUGGUCGGGAUUUAAACUUGGAGUACUAAUCUAAUAUUUCUGAAAGUUGAUAUACCAAAAUUUAUAAAAAGUCAAAGUUGAGAUACCGUUUAGACGAAUUUCUUUUUUUCUUUUUAAUAAAACAAAGGAUUAGCCUUAGAUCCGGCAUCCCUAUUGAAUCUCUUUCUUUUAACAAACUACAUAUACCCCUUCUAAAAAAAAAUUUGAAACACAAAUACAUCCAUUUACAUUGUUUUUAAACUACUAAAGAAAUUUUUUUAACAAAUAAGGACGAAUUGUUUUCUACUUGCUUGUCAUUUGUUAUGAUUUAAUUUACCAAAUUGACAUUAGACAAAUUAGAUCAGACUUUGUCAUGUCUUGGUUUAAUUGUUAUUGCACUUGUUGGAAUGUUGUUGCUACUGCCGAUUGGAAUGUUGCUGCUACUAUUGAUUGGAAUGUUGUUGCUACUGCCAACUGGAAUGUUGAUGCUCCUGUCGAUUGGAAUGUUGUUGCUGCUAUUACCAAUUGGAAGUUUUUAGCUACUGUCGAUUGGAAUGAUGUUGUUACUACUGAAGUUGUUACAAUGAUGUUGCUACUACCGAUUGGAAUGUUGUUGCUACUGGCGAUUGAAAUAUUGCUUCUACUGCUGAAGCUGUUAUGAUGAUGCUACUACUAAAGCUGUUACAAUGAUGUUGCUACUACCGAUUGGAAUGAUGUUGCUACUAUUGAACUUGUUACAAUUAGCACAUAUCAAAACACAAUAAAAUACUAAAAUACAGUAUUGCAAUGAUGUCAAUAGAAAAGAAAUAUCAACCAUCGUUUUGAAUCAUGAGCCACCACCACAACCUAGUCUCUGCUACUGUUAUCGUCGAUGUUAUUGAGGGAGAAAUCGGAGGACGUCGUCGAUGUCACUGAGGAGAACUACGUUAUCACUCGGUUGGACUUUGCGGUAGAUCUCAGAGAGAGAGAGAGAGAGAGAGAGAGAGAGAUCAGAUCGGGAUGGAGAGAAAACUUAGGGAGUGACAUAAAGUGUAAUUUUGUUGGAAAACGAAGUAUUAUCGUUAUUUUACAUUUAAAUUUUUGAUUAGGUCAUCUAUUAUUUGGUUAUGGGUCUUGGCUCAUGUCUUUUUUUGCCUAAAUCUUUUGAAAUGUGGGUUUUAUGUGAUAUGUUACUCUUUGUGGUAGUGGGAGAUCAUUUUCUCAAAAGAAAACCUCAGUUGAAACCCUAGAACCCCUUAUUUGACAGAGCAAAAGAAAACCCCAGCGCAAUAUUCACUUUAUCGACACCAAUAAUGAGAAAACAAUUGGAUAAAAAUUCUUAAAUUAAACACAUCAUUUCGGUCUGCUAAUGAUAAAUAACAACAAAUAGAAAAGGAAAAGAGAAAGUGAAUAUUGCGCUGGGGUUUUCUUUCACUCCGCAAAACAAAGGGUUCCAAGGUUUCAACUCUGAGGUUUUCUUUCCGUCCGACGACACGUCAAUUGACGCCGUCGUCGGACGAGAGUUGUUGAAUGGUCAUUGCGUGGCUGCGGCUUGCUGGUUGGUGGUGGUGGACCGAAAGAUUCAUAUAUUAAAGGAAGGUGUCCGAGUGGAGCAGCGGCGACGAGGUCUAUUGGUUGCUGAACAGGCUAGUCCGCCAUGAAUAUCGAUUGUUGAGGAGCAAGGCUGCGUUGAUGAACUAGAAUGACGAGACGGUGGGGCGGGGAAGAUCUACUCGGAUUGAAUCUCACAAUCUGGGUUGGUCACAAUCUGGGUUGGUUUUCCUUUGCCCUUUGUUGCAGUUCCUUGUGGAAGAUGGUCGACUCCAUGCGUUGUGAUGGGGCUUCUUUGGUGGCGAUCGAGGUUGAUGUCGGGCGACGAUCGGCAAUCGGUGCUCAUCCAGGUUGUUUUUUGGGCCGCGUCUUUGGAUGCUUGCUCUUUGGUCCAGUGGGUAUGGUUUCGGCCUGGGCCCUUUCUGGGUCUGGGUCUAGGUCUAGGGUUUUUUUGGUUUUAUUUUUAGAUUUUUUAUUGGUUUUGUUUUCGGUUGGUUAGUUGUCCCUCCUCUUUGAGCCAGGGUUUUGGCCUCCUCUUUGAGUGAGGGUUUAGGGUUUUGGUAGGUUUGGGGUUGUGUCAUGGGGUGUGUUAUGGUUAUGGUGUCGUUUAUAGAGAUUAUUUUAACGUCGGUUAGUUCUUGUUGUCAAUAUAAUGGAGAGGUUACUUGUGCAUAUAUGUNNN